AUGAUCAUGCCCUGCAAAAAUUCAAACCAAUGAUUAUCCAAGCAACAAUCCAAAUCAGUUUGGUUCAAUAACGCAUAUCCACAGUUGGAUCAAAGAAUUGGAAGCAAAUGGAUUAGAGAAUUAAACUUAUGGCAAAUCCCACGUGAUUUAAUGACUUAAAGCUCACCUUCACUUAGAUGCCAGCUGGACGAAUCAGAUUUAACUUCAGAUCCAAUUCUCCAAAUUGCCCUCUUGGAUCAAGCUAUAUAAGAGGCAAUCAUUGCCAAUCAUUGGGGUUGAGACUUUUUUCCCCUCAUUCGAAAAGCAUUUUGCACUCAAUUCCCACCUUCAGUACACGCUCAUUUUCCAUUGUUGUGAGAGCUUCAUCACUCGAAGCUCUACACGACAGAGCUAAGCCACUGCCACCGCCGGAAGCUUCAAAGCUUGAAGAUCGUUAUCACUCGCACGCUUCCAAUCCGUUUCAACAUUGCGAGAAGAGGAAGAGAGGCGCUCAGAAGUUGUGCUCGUGACCUUCG
RNAcentral lists this long non-coding RNA (515 nucleotides) under Lathyrus oleraceus (garden pea). RNAcentral's name for it is "Pisum sativum (pea) long non-coding RNA (PSAT_LNC037172)". The record is from RNAcentral. Lineage: Eukaryota; Viridiplantae; Streptophyta; Magnoliopsida; Fabales; Fabaceae.